RNAcentral lists this ribosomal RNA (744 nucleotides) under uncultured marine bacterium. RNAcentral's name for it is "bacterial SSU rRNA". It matches the Rfam family "Bacterial small subunit ribosomal RNA", at positions 9 to 799 of the family's 1533-position model. The record is from RNAcentral.
GAGUUUGAUCCUGGCUCANAACGAACGCUGGCGGCAGGCCUAACACAUGCAAGUCGAGCGCGCCUUUCGGGGUGAGCGGCGGACGGGUUAGUAACGCGUGGGAAUAUGCCCUUUGGUACGGAAUAGCCUCUGGAAACGGAGAGUAAUACCGUAUGAGCCCUUCGGGGGAAAGAUUUAUCGCCAAAGGAUUAGCCCGCGUUAGAUUAGGUAGUUGGUGGGGUAAUGGCCUACCAAGCCUACGAUCUAUAGCUGGUUUUAGAGGAUGAUCAGCAACACUGGGACUGAGACACGGCCCAGACUCCUACGGGAGGCAGCAGUGGGGAAUCUUGGACAAUGGGGGCAACCCUGAUCCAGCCAUGCCGCGUGAGUGAAGAAGGCCCUAGGGUCGUAAAGCUCUUUCGCCUGUGAAGAUAAUGACGGUAGCAGGUAAAGAAACCCCGGCUAACUCCGUGCCAGCAGCCGCGGUAAUACGGAGGGGGUUAGCGUUGUUCGGAAUUACUGGGCGUAAAGCGCACGUAGGCGGAUCGGAAAGUUGGGGGUGAAAUCCCGGGGCUCAACCCCGGAACUGCCUCCAAAACUAUCGGUCUAGAGUUCGAGAGAGGUGAGUGGAAUUCCGAGUGUAGAGGUGAAAUUCGUAGAUAUUCGGAGGAACACCAGUGGCGAAGGCGGCUCACUGGCUCGAUACUGACGCUGAGGUGCGAAAGUGUGGGGAGCAAACAGGAUUAGAUACCCUGGUAGUCAAUC